Molecule: ribosomal RNA, 414 nt
Filed under: uncultured microorganism
Description: bacterial SSU rRNA
Rfam family: Archaeal small subunit ribosomal RNA
Source: RNAcentral
GUGCAGCAGGCGCGAAAACUUCACACUGUGCGAAAGCACGAUGAGGGAAUCCCAAGUGCUUGCACGUAAGUGUAAGCUGUUUCUCUGUUUAAAACGCAGAGAGAGUAAGGGCUGGGUAAGACGGGUGCCAGCCGCCGCGGUAAUACCUGCAGCUCAAGUGGUGACCGUUAUUAUUGGGCCUAAAACGUCCGUAGCCGGUUUAAUAAAUGCCUGGGUAAAUCGUGUAGCUUAACUAUACGAAUUCCGGGUAGACUGUUAAACUCGAGACCGGGAGAAGUUAGAGGUACUCCUGGGGUAGAGGUGAAAUUCUGUAAUCCUAGGGGGACCACCAGUGGUGAAGGCGUCUAACUAGAACGGGUCUGACGGUGAAGGACGAAGCCCUGGGGCGCAAACGGGAUUAGAUACCCGUGUAGU